CCUACGGGAGGCAGCAGUGGGGGAUAUUGCACAAUGGGGGCAACCCUGAUGCAGCGACGCCGCGUGAGUGAAGAAGUAUUUCGGUAUGUAAAGCCCUAUCAGCAGGGAAGAAAAUGACAGUACCUGACCAAGAAGCCCCGUCUAACUACGUGCCAGCAGCCGCGGCCAUACGUAGGGGGCCAGCGUUAUCCGGAUUUACUGGGUGUAAAGGGGGCGUAGACGGUUAUGUAAGUCUGGAGUGAAAGCCCGGGGCUCAACCCCGGGACUGCUUUGGAAACUGUGUAACUGGAGUACAGGAGGGGUAGGCGGAAUACGUGGUGGAGCGGUGAAAUGCGUAGAUAUGAGGAAGAACACCGGCGGCGAAGGCGGCCUGCUGGACUGAAACUGACGUUGAGGCUCGAAAGCGUGGGGAGCAAACAGGAUUAGAUACCCCAGUAGUC
RNAcentral lists this ribosomal RNA (440 nucleotides) under uncultured bacterium. RNAcentral describes it as "partial 16S ribosomal RNA". It matches the Rfam family "Bacterial small subunit ribosomal RNA", at positions 338 to 795 of the family's 1533-position model. The record is from RNAcentral.